Molecule: small nuclear RNA, 107 nt
Organism: Ochotona princeps (American pika)
Lineage: Eukaryota; Metazoa; Chordata; Mammalia; Lagomorpha; Ochotonidae
Source: RefSeq, a predicted model, not a curated record
GUGCUUGCUUCAGCAGCACAUAUACUAAAAUUGGAACAAUACAGAAAAGAUUAGCCUGGUCCCCGCUCCAGGAUGACUUGCAAAUUUAUGAAGCAUUCUGUAUUUAA